Molecule: ribosomal RNA, 494 nt
Filed under: uncultured bacterium
Lineage: Bacteria
Description: partial 16S ribosomal RNA
Rfam family: Bacterial small subunit ribosomal RNA
Source: RNAcentral
GACGAACGCUGGCGGCGUGCUUAACACAUGCAAGUCGAACGGUGAAGCGCCUUCCUUUUUGGUGGGUGUGGAUGAGUGGCGAACGGGUGAGUAACACGUGAGUAACCUGCCCCCUUCUUCUGGAUAACCGCAUGAAAGUGUGGCUAAUACGGGAUAUUCUGGGUCUGUCGCAUGAUGGGUCUGGGAAAGAUAUUGUUUCGGUGGGGGAUGGGCUCGCGGCCUAUCAGCUUGUUGGUGGGGUGAUGGCCUACCAAGGCGGUGACGGGUAGCCGGCCUGAGAGGGUGGACGGUCACACUGGGACUGAGACACGGCCCAGACUCCUACGGGAGGCAGCAGUGGGGAAUAUUGCACAAUGGGCGCAAGCCUGAUGCAGCGGCGCCGCGUGAGGGAUGGAGGCCUUCGGGUUGUGAACCUCUUCCGCCAGUGAAGCAGGCCUGCCUCGUUUGUGGGUGGGUUGACGGUAGCUGGAUAAGAAGCGCCGGCUAACUACGUG